CCUUUACGGGAGGCAGCAGUGAGGAAUAUUGGACAAUGGGUGGAAGCCUGAUCCAGCCAUCCCGCGUGAAGGAUGGCGGUUCUAUGGAUUGUAAACUUCUUUUAUAUGGGGAUAAACCUACUCUCGUGAGGGUAGCUGAAGGUACCAUAUGAAUAAGCACCGGCUAACUCCGUGCCAGCAGCCGCGUAAUAAGG
RNAcentral lists this ribosomal RNA (194 nucleotides) under uncultured bacterium. RNAcentral's name for it is "partial 16S ribosomal RNA". It matches the Rfam family "Bacterial small subunit ribosomal RNA", at positions 335 to 528 of the family's 1533-position model. The record is from RNAcentral.